This 879-nucleotide ribosomal RNA is filed under the name uncultured bacterium. Its description in RNAcentral is "bacterial SSU rRNA". It matches the Rfam family "Bacterial small subunit ribosomal RNA", at positions 8 to 916 of the family's 1533-position model. The record is from RNAcentral.
AGAGUUUGAUCAUGGCUCAGGAUGAACGCUGGCGGCGUGCCUAACACAUGCAAGUCGAGCGAUUCUCUUCGGAGAAGAGCGGCGGACGGGUGAGUAACGCGUGGGUAACCUGCCCUGUACACACGGAUAACAUACCGAAAGGUAUGCUAAUACGAGAUAAUAUACUUUUAUCGCAUGGUAGAAGUAUCAAAGCUUUUGCGGUACAGGAUGGACCCGCGUCUGAUUAGCUAGUUGGUAAGGUAACGGCUCACCAAGGCGACGAUCAGUAGCCGACCUGAGAGGGUGAUCGGCCACAUUGGAACUGAGACACGGUCCAAACUCCCACGGGAGGCAGCAGUGGGGAAUAUUGCACAAUGGGCGAAAGCCUGAUGCAGCAACGCCGCGUGAGCGAUGAAGGCCUUCGGGUCGUAAAGCUCUGUCCUCAAGGAAGAUAAUGACGGUACUUGAGGAGGAAGCCCCGGCUAACUACGUGCCAGCAGCCGCGGUAAUACGUAGGGGGCUAGCGUUAUCCGGAAUUACUGGGCGUAAAGGGUGCGUAGGUGGUUUCUUAAGUCAGAGGUGAAAGGCUACGGCUCAACCGUAGUAAGCCUUUGAAACUGGGAAACUUGAGUGCAGGAGAGGAGAGUGGAAUUCCUAGUGUAGCGGUGAAAUGCGUAGAUAUUAGGAGGAACACCAGUUGCGAAGGCGGCUCUCUGGACUGUAACUGACACUGAGGCACGAAAGCGUGGGGAGCAAACAGGAUUAGAUACCCUGGUAGUCCACGCCGUAAACGAUGAGUACUAGCUGUCGGAGGUUACCCCCUUCGGUGGCGCAGCUAACGCAUUAAGUACUCCGCCUGGGAAGUACGCUCGCAAGAGUGAAACUCAAAUGAAUUGACGG